UACGUAGGGUGCGAGCGUUGUCCGGAAUUAUUGGGCGUAAAGAGCUCGUAGGCGGUUUGUCACGUCUGCUGUGAAAUCCCGAGGCUCAACCUCGGGCCUGCAGUGGGUACGGGCAGACUGGAGUGCGGUAGGGGAGAAUGGAAUUCCUGGUGUAGCGGUGGAAUGCGCAGAUAUCAGGAGGAACACCGAUGGCGAAGGCAGGUCUCUGGGCCGUAACUGACGCUGAGACGCGAAAGCGUGGGGAGCAAACAGG
This 253-nucleotide ribosomal RNA is filed under the name uncultured bacterium. RNAcentral describes it as "partial 16S ribosomal RNA". It matches the Rfam family "Bacterial small subunit ribosomal RNA", at positions 524 to 776 of the family's 1533-position model. The record is from RNAcentral.